GCAGUUUGUUUGACCGUGCGGAAGAACAUUG
RNAcentral lists this ribosomal RNA (31 nucleotides) under Musa mannii. RNAcentral describes it as "partial 18S ribosomal RNA". Lineage: Eukaryota; Viridiplantae; Streptophyta; Magnoliopsida; Zingiberales; Musaceae. The record is from RNAcentral.